AAACUAACAAGGAUUCCCCUAGUAGCGGCGAGCGAAGCGGGAAGAGCUCAAAUUUAUAAUCUGGCACCUUCGGUGUCCGAGUUGUAAUCUCUAGAAGUGUUUUCCGCGUUGGACCGCACACAAGUCUGUUGGAAUACAGCGGCAUAGUGGUGAGACCCCCGUAUAUGGUGCGGACGCCCAACGCUUUGUGAUACACUUUCGAAGAGUCGAGUUGUUUGGGAAUGCAGCUCAAAUUGGGUGGUAAAUUCCAUCUAAAGCUAAAUAUUGGCGAGAGACCGAUAGCGAACAAGUACCGUGAGGGAAAGAUGAAAAGCACUUUGGAAAGAGAGUUAACAGUACGUGAAAUUGUUGGAAGGGAAACGCUUGAAGUCAGACUUGCUUGCCGAGCAAUCGGUUUGCAGGCCAGCAUCAGUUUUCCGGGGUGGAUAAUGGUAGAGAGAAGGUAGCAGUUUCGGCUGUGUUAUAGCUCUUUGCUGGAUACACCUUGGGGGACUGAGGAACGCAGUGUGCCUUACGGCGGAUUUCUCGAGAUCUCACA
RNAcentral lists this ribosomal RNA (538 nucleotides) under Rhodotorula taiwanensis. RNAcentral describes it as "LSU rRNA". It matches the Rfam family "Eukaryotic large subunit ribosomal RNA", at positions 62 to 607 of the family's 3401-position model. The record is from RNAcentral. Lineage: Eukaryota; Fungi; Basidiomycota; Microbotryomycetes; Sporidiobolales; Sporidiobolaceae.